RNAcentral lists this ribosomal RNA (420 nucleotides) under uncultured bacterium. Its description in RNAcentral is "bacterial SSU rRNA". It matches the Rfam family "Bacterial small subunit ribosomal RNA", at positions 357 to 775 of the family's 1533-position model. The record is from RNAcentral.
GGGAAUAUUGGGCAAUGGCCGAGAGGCUGACCCAGCCAUGCCGCGUGCAGGAAGAAGGCCUUCUGGGUUGUAAACUGCUUUUAUCGGGGUAGAAAACGCUCCUGCGGGAGUAACUGACGGUACCCGAUGAAUAAGCACCGGCUAACUCCGUGCCAGCAGCCGCGGUAAUACGGAGGGUGCAAGCGUUGUCCGGAUUUAUUGGGUUUAAAGGGUGCGUAGGCGGCCCGUUAAGUCAGCGGUGAAAUCCCAGGGCUCAACCCUGGAACUGCCGUUGAUACUGGCGGGCUUGAGUUCGGUCGAGGCGGGCGGAACUGGUGGUGUAGCGGUGAAAUGCAUAGAUACCACCAAGAACCCCGAUUGCGAAGGCAGCUCGCUGGGCCGAAACUGACGCUGAGGCACGAAAGCGUGGGGAGCGAACAG